CCGGGCCGUCGGCUCUGGGCUGGGCGCUGAGGGCGGGUGGUGGCCUCUGAAAGCAGGGAUCGCCGUGCCCCUGAACGCCUGGCACGGCUGCCGCCACUCGAGUCAGUGGUCAGAACAAAAGGUGCGCUGGGGCAGUGGUGGCUACCGGCGAGUGUUUGGCCGGAGGGGUUUCCUCUGUCCUCCACCAGCUAGCUCUGCAAAGUGAAGUUGCUGACACAUGAAAACCCGCGGGACGCUGGCAGCGUUCUGCCUAAAGCUUUGAGCUGAGCGGUAUAAAACAGACAUCUCCGGAGCCUCCUGGAACUCGCAAGGUGUUUGCAGGCUCCAGACAACCGUCAGUUUGCAGGUUACUCGCUGGGCUGCACGAUCUACUAUGAAGGAAAAGGAAACAAGGAAAACCACCGAGCAUUUCAAGCAAAAGAUCUCAUUCCAGAACCUUCAUUCCACCUGUCUACCUGAACACAAAUACCUGGAGAGAGUGACGCCUAAGAUCAAGUUCCUGGUAUGGAGAACAAGAAGCUGCAGGGCCAGAGAAGGCCCACGUGUGCCUCUAGCACUGGGAAACAGGCAGAUGAGAGCGGACAGAACGCUUGUGGCUCAUGGCCAUUGUAAUUCUUCAGGCUUCUAGUGUUAGCGUAUCUUACUGACCAUUUAGUAAAUAUUGACCAUUUAGUUCUGUUGGGGAAAGAGAAAAAGAGUGCCUAAUAGGUGAGCAGUAGGAAUCGAGCUUGGUUUCUAUUUAGCUUCCAUUUCAUGAUCGGCUAAGUUAAAAGGUGAUUUAUAUUCAACUACUUCCGGAG
Molecule: long non-coding RNA, 800 nt
Filed under: Meriones unguiculatus (Mongolian gerbil)
Lineage: Eukaryota; Metazoa; Chordata; Mammalia; Rodentia; Muridae
Description: lncRNA (ENSMUGG00000025924.1)
Source: RNAcentral